Molecule: transfer RNA, 88 nt
Filed under: Betaproteobacteria bacterium
Lineage: Bacteria; Pseudomonadati; Pseudomonadota; Betaproteobacteria
Description: tRNA-Leu
Rfam family: tRNA
About the family: Transfer RNA (tRNA) molecules are approximately 80 nucleotides in length. Their secondary structure includes four short double-helical elements and three loops (D, anti-codon, and T loops).
Source: RNAcentral
GCCGGGAUGGCGGAAUUGGUAGACGCACGGGACUCAAAAUCCCGCGCCCCUCAAAGGCGUGCGAGUUCGACUCUCGCUCCCGGCACCA